GCUUAGGGCCCAUACUGGGUUCCUAGGACUACGACUAAGGUGGAGGUGACUUCUCAUGGGCCUCCAGAGAAGGAGUCCAGGGCUUCUGCUGACAGGCCUGUGUGUGGGACUGCUAUUCAGUUGGACGAACCUUGCCCAGCCAACCGACCUCUCAGCACUGGCUCACCACCCCCAUUUGUGCCAGACUACACGGGAUGCCUCAGGCCGCCUCUAUCCUGGCUUUUUCUGUCCUCGCCUCUCCGAUACUCCUGAGGAAGCCUACUGUUGCCAUCUGCAGGCUGCCGGGGGUUCCUGCUGUACCCUGGAUGAAUUUGAGGCCCUGUACCAAGUAAACCUGUCUUCUCUUCAGCCCCCACCCAUCCUCAGAGGCCCAGGCCCGCUCCUAGCACUGGGCAUCUACAGUCUACUGCUGAUGGCACUGAUGACUGCAGAUUUCGUGCACUUCUGCCGUGGUCGGGGACGGAGGGAAAGACAAAACUCCAGCUGCCGUCGCCUUUCCGUUCGGGCCUCUGCCGCGCGCCCCCUACAGGUUCCAGUGGGAACAGACUAGGCGCUCGUAAAAGCAUCCUUGAGCCUGAGCCUGAGGCUGAGCCUGCGCCUGCGCAAUGCGGCCGAGUACCCCGCCCCUGCACAGAGGCAACCUCUUCUUUGCCUCGCCUUCUUUGGCGUAACCCUGACGCAUAGCUGGGGCGGGGCAGUCGCCGGCAUCUCACCGAGCCCAGGGCCACCUUUGCUCCAGAGACUGCUCCUGCACCGGCUCUUGGAGCUCAGCUUCGGGAUGACUGUGAGUGGCCCGGGGACCCCGGAGCCCCGACCUUCCGACCCCGGGGCCAGCUCAGCCGAGCAGCUGCGGAAGGAGGGCAACGAGCUGUUCAAAUGCGGAGAUUACGAGGGCGCCCUGACCGCCUACACUCAGGCCCUGAGUCUCGGCGCAACGCCCCAGGACCAGGCCAUUCUGCACCGAAACCGGGCUGCUUGCCACCUCAAGCUGGAAGAUUACAGCAAAGCAGAAUCAGAGGCAUCUAAAGCCAUUGAAAAGGACGGUGGGGAUGUCAAAGCACUUUAUCGCCGAAGCCAAGCCCUAGAGAAGCUGGGCCGCCUGGACCAGGCUGUCCUCGACCUGAAGAGAUGUGUGAGCCUAGAACCCAAGAACAAAGUUUUCCAGGAGUCCCUGAGGAACAUUGGGGGCCAGAUUCAGGAGAAGGUGCGGUACAUGUCCUCCACAGAUGCCAAAGUAGAACAGAUGUUUCAGAUACUGUUGGACCCCAAAGAAAAAGGCACAGAGAAGAAGCAGAAGGCUUCUCAGAACCUUGUGGUACUGGCCCGAGAGGAUGCUGGAGCUGAGAAGAUCUUCCGGAGCAACGGGGUCCAGCUCUUGCAACGCCUGCUGGACACGGGAGAGACUGACCUCAUGCUGGCAGCCCUGCGCACACUGGUUGGCAUUUGCUCUGAGCACCAGUCGCGGACAGUGGCUACCCUGAGUGUCCUGGGAACUCGGAGAGUCGUCUCCAUCCUGGGUGUGGAAAACCAGGCCGUGUCGCUGGCAGCCUGCCACCUGCUGCAGGUUAUGUUUGAUGCCCUCAAGGAAGGUGUCAAGAAAGGCUUCCGAGGCAAAGAAGGUGCCAUCAUUGUGGAUCCUGCCCGGGAGCUGAAGGUUCUCAUCAGUAACCUCUUGGAGCUACUGACUGAGGCGGGGGUCUCUGGCCAAGGCCGUGACAAUGCCCUGACCCUCCUCAUUAAAAUGGUACCCCGGAAGUCGCCGAAGGACCCCAACAAUAGCCUCACACUCUGGGUCAUUGAUCAAGGUCUGAAAAAGAUUCUGGAAGUGGGGGGCUCCCUGCAGGAUGCUGCUGGGGAGCUCACGGUGACAGCAAACAGCCGCAUGAGUGCCUCCAUCCUCCUCAGCAAGCUGUUUGAUGAUCUGAAGUGUGAUGCCGAGCGGGAGAACUUCCACCGACUCUGUGAGAACUACAUCAGGAGCUGGUUUGAGGGCCGAGGGCUGGCCGGGAAGCUGCGAGCCAUCCAGACAGUGUCCUGCCUUCUGCAGGGCCCAUGUGACGCUGGCAACCGGGCCUUAGAGCUGAGUGGUGUCAUGGAGAGCGUGAUCGCUCUGUGCGCCUCAGAGCAGGAGGAAGAACAGCUGGUGGCAGUGGAGGCGCUGAUCCACGCAGCCGGCAAAGCCAAGCGGGCCUCCUUCAUCACUGCCAACGGCGUCUCGCUGCUCAAGGACCUGUACAAAGGCAGCGAGAGGGACAGCAUUCGCAUCAGAGCGCUAGUGGGACUCUGUAAGCUCGGGUCAGCUGGAGGGACUGACUUUAGCAUGAAGCAGUUUGCCGAAGGCUCUACUCUCAAACUGGCCAAGCAGUGCCGAAAGUGGCUAUGCAAUGACCAGAUUGAUGCGGGUACUCGGCGCUGGGCAGUGGAGGGCCUAGCUUACCUCACCUUUGAUGCUGAUGUGAAGGAGGAGUUUGUGGAGGACGAGGCUGCUCUGAAGGCCCUGUUCCAGCUCAGCAGGUCUGAAGAAAGGUCAGUGCUCUUUGCCGUAGGCUCAGCACUGGUCAAUUGCACCAAUAGCUACGACUAUGAGGAGCCUGACCCCAAGAUGGUGGAGCUGGCCAAGUAUGCCAAGCAGCACGUUCCAGAACAGCACCCUAAGGACAAACCGAGCUUCGUGCGCGCUCGUGUGAAGAAGCUGCUGGCAGCAGGUGUGGUGUCAGCCAUGACGUGUAUGGUGAAGACAGAGAGCCCUGUGCUGACAAACUCCUGUAGGGAGCUACUCUCCAGGGUCUUCCUGGCUUUGGUGGAGGAGGUGGAGGAUCGAGGUACUGUGGUUGCCCAGGGAGGGGGCAAGGCUCUGAUCCCGCUGGCCCUGGAAGGCACUGAUGUUGGGCAGACGAAGGCAGCCCAGGCUCUUGCCAAGCUGACCAUCACCUCUAACCCAGAGAUGACCUUUCCUGGUGAGCGGAUCUACGAAGUAGUCCGGCCCCUUGUCUCUCUACUGCACCUCAGUUGCUCAGGACUGCAGAACUUUGAGGCCCUCAUGGCCCUAACGAACCUGGCAGGGAUCAGCGAGAGGCUCAGACAGAAGAUCCUGAAGGAGAAAGCUGUGCCUAUGAUUGAGGGCUACAUGUUUGAGGAGCAUGAGAUGAUCCGCCGGGCAGCUACAGAGUGCAUGUGUAACUUAGCCAUGAGCAAAGAGGUGCAGGAUCUCUUCGAAGCCCAGGGCAAUGACCGGUUGAAGCUGCUGGUGCUGUACAGCGGAGAGGAUGAUGAGCUCCUGCGGAGGGCUGCUGCCGGCGGCCUGGCCAUGCUCACCUCCAUGCGGCCCUCCCUCUGCAGCCGUAUCCCACAAGUGACCACACACUGGCUGGAGAUCUUGCAGGCCCUGCUUCUAAGCCCCAACCAGGAGCUGCAGCACCGGGGCACUGUGGUGGUGCUGAACAUGAUGGAGUCCUCGAAGGAGAUGGCCAGCACCCUGAUGGAGAGCGAGGUCCUGGAGAUCCUGUCAGUGCUGGCCAAGGGCGAGGAGAGCCCGGUCACUAGGGCUGCUGGGGCCUGUCUGGAGAAGGCAGUGGAAUAUAGACUCAUCCAACCCAACCAGGAUGGAGAGUGAGGAUCGGCCCGGGCCCACAGCUCAUGCGUCUGUCACCCAUCACAGCUCUAAGAGUCCAGAUAGAAGCAGCUGGGCCAACAGGACCUGCCUCUCCUCCACAGCUGCACUUCGGUGUUCUCUAUUCUGAGGACACACACCACACAGCCCUGCCCUGCCACACUCAGAAGGGCCCUGUCUGUACUGUAGAGAGCUGGGAAUGAGGAACGCGCAUCUCAUUCAAACCUGUGGAUUAUGGGCAUCAAGAAGGAAGGGCACAGCAGCAUCCUCACAAGCUGGGAGCAGCACCAGAGCCUGCCAGCAGGCUCGUCCCUCUAAUAAAGCAUGUGGAACUAAAGCUUGUGUUUGUUGUGUAGGCAGGGCUGCUGAGGGUGGGACGUUCUGGAGCAGCAGCUGGCACCAGCAAAGUGUGCUGCAGAGUACUGUCGCUGUAAGAGAAGGAAGCCAGCGGGCCCAUGGAGGGUCUUUGUAGACAAGGCCUUAAUAUGGGCAGGUCAGGCUGGCUUCAAACUGAUAAUCCUUUCUCAGCCCUUAGAGUAGUGGGCAUCACAAAGUGCCAUCACCCAGCCUGGGCUCUUUCUACGUCUUUGUGUUAGCCUAAAGCUUGGGAAACUGAUCAAAUUUCAGUGUCAUUUAAUGGUAGUCUUAUAUGCUGGCCCUUGGAUACAUUUGUCAUGAUAUUGUGAGUUUUCUGCGUAGUCUGUGUUUGGAAUUUGAAGUCAGUGUGCGCUUCCCUCGGGGAAAAUAAAUUUUUCUGUAGUUGUGCCAGGUUAAUUCUCCUUACCUAGGAACACCAGUUUCUUAGAGGCCCCGAGUCCAAGCUUGAGACUCAUUGGCUCAGUACAAGUAAGUGACAGAGCCUGGGCCAAUCAGUGAAGGCACUGAUACUACCGCUUCCGGUUUGGCCGUCGGUCCUGCGCUUGUUCAGUAGUGAACCACCUCCUUCCUUGUUCAAAGGGAAUGGAGGAUGUCAGGGCUUGGUCUUCGCCCGCUGUUCCCCUCGAAUCUUCAUGAGUAUUCACUCAGUGGUUCCAACUGCGUCCACUGGCGUUGGCGCCCACAGGAGACUUUGGCCCACUGCCUAGCGGCAGGUAACCCGGCGCACGUGCGUACGUCCGGCGGGCCCCAGUGAUGACGUCACCGCUCGUGCCUACGAUUGGCUCUGAAAAGCUGCCACACCCAAUGACCGCUUUGCUUGGCGCGGGGCCCCGCCUGCGAUCUGUUCCGGAGCCGCGCACUACAACACGCUCUUCGUUUUCAAGCGCGAGCUCCCUGGGGCUGAUAGUCACCUCAUUAAGCCAAAAGAUACGCGCUAACAAAGACUUCUUGAAAGAAUAAACGACCGAGUAAGGUCCAGUGGAAA
Molecule: RNA transcript, 4973 nt
Organism: Mastomys coucha (southern multimammate mouse)
Lineage: Eukaryota; Metazoa; Chordata; Mammalia; Rodentia; Muridae
Gene: Unc45a
Gene name: unc-45 myosin chaperone A
Exons: 23
Source: RefSeq, a predicted model, not a curated record